UCCUGGUCUGUCGGCGGUCUCCCUCUAUGUCCCCUACAGCAGCAGCGCGUCAGGCAUGAAUCUGGUGUGACAGAAAACACGCAGCGGUCGCCACGCAACUGACACGCAGCAGAAACGCCACGCUCACGCCAUGCAUCCAGUGUGUCACCGACAGUCCUGCUCGAGACAUUUUCUUUUUCUCUGAAAUACUUCAAGUUCAAAGAUCAGGACGUCACGACUUCGACUGAUGGAAAAUUAUUCGUUUAAGAAACUGAGUCUGUGAACAUAUAACGACAUUCAGAAUCACAAUCAUGAAUGCUGUAAAUACUGUGCAGCUGUUCAUUCUGGUUUGGACCUUUACUGCUGUCUGUCAAGCUGAUGAUGAUAUCAGUGUAAGCUGUGAUGAUGUGACUGGAUCUGUGGGGAAAGAAAUGAAUCUCACCUGCAGCGUCUCUCUGAAGAUCACUGAAUGCUGCAUUAUAAUGUAUAAGUUUCAAUACCCUGAGAUCUAUGAUGGCUCUGCAAUUUGUCGUCAAGAUGUUUCUGUGAACCCCUGUAAACGGAGAAACAGUUUCACAUGCCUCUUCACUCCAACUACAGCAAUGACAAAACAAUUCAGAUUCUUUGUGCAAACAAACUGUGGAGUGAAAAAAGAAGACAUUCUUACUAUUGAAGCAUCAGGUACUGCUUACUAUAAUAUCUUUGCUUAUAAUCUACUAAAUCUUUCCAAAUAUACGUUUAUGUCAAAUCUACUAACAGUGGUUUAAAACCUCUUAACAAAGACCAUUAAAGGGUUAUUUCACAAAAAAAUAAAAAUGAUGUCAUUAAUGACUCUGAAUGACCCUCAUGUCAUUCCAAUCUAGGGCUGUGCAAUUAAUCGAAAUUGUAAUAAAAUUUCUAAAUUCAGUUUAUAGCAUGAUUUUCUGCGGCCACGACCUCCUGCAGUAUGCUAUCCGAAACAAUCAAAAUGCAGCGCGCCUAUGUGGGAGCGCGAGAACAGAACAGACUGGGGAUAUGCCUAACUCUAGGUUCACAAACUCUGUCUGUGAUGCGUAGCCUUUUUUUCGAGCCCUUCAAACCUUGAGCAAAAAAUAUAACACCUGAGGCAAUGCUACAGUUGAUAAACAACGCUAUGUCUUGACAUUUUGUUUGCUUUACUUAGUGAUUAUUUUAACUUCUGUCUGUCCUAGAGACAUGUUACAACUUUUUAAUAAAGCUGCCAUCG
RNAcentral lists this long non-coding RNA (1204 nucleotides) under Carassius auratus (goldfish). RNAcentral's name for it is "lncRNA (ENSCARG00000056098.1)". Lineage: Eukaryota; Metazoa; Chordata; Actinopteri; Cypriniformes; Cyprinidae. The record is from RNAcentral.